Molecule: ribosomal RNA, 798 nt
Filed under: Bacillus subtilis
Lineage: Bacteria; Bacillati; Bacillota; Bacilli; Caryophanales; Bacillaceae
Description: bacterial SSU rRNA
Rfam family: Bacterial small subunit ribosomal RNA
Source: RNAcentral
AGUCGAGCGGACAGAUGGGAGCUUGCUCCCUGAUGUUAGCGGCGGACGGGUGAGUAACACGUGGGUAACCUGCCUGUAAGACUGGGAUAACUCCGGGAAACCGGGGCUAAUACCGGAUGGUUGUUUGAACCGCAUGGUUCAAACAUAAAAGGUGGCUUCGGCUACCACUUACAGAUGGACCCGCGGCGCAUUAGCUAGUUGGUGAGGUAACGGCUCACCAAGGCAACGAUGCGUAGCCGACCUGAGAGGGUGAUCGGCCACACUGGGACUGAGACACGGCCCAGACUCCUACGGGAGGCAGCAGUAGGGAAUCUUCCGCAAUGGACGAAAGUCUGACGGAGCAACGCCGCGUGAGUGAUGAAGGUUUUCGGAUCGUAAAGCUCUGUUGUUAGGGAAGAACAAGUACCGUUCGAAUAGGGCGGUACCUUGACGGUACCUAACCAGAAAGCCACGGCUAACUACGUGCCAGCAGCCGCGGUAAUACGUAGGUGGCAAGCGUUGUCCGGAAUUAUUGGGCGUAAAGGGCUCGCAGGCGGUUUCUUAAGUCUGAUGUGAAAGCCCCCGGCUCAACCGGGGAGGGUCAUUGGAAACUGGGGAACUUGAGUGCAGAAGAGGAGAGUGGAAUUCCACGUGUAGCGGUGAAAUGCGUAGAGAUGUGGAGGAACACCAGUGGCGAAGGCGACUCUCUGGUCUGUAACUGACGCUGAGGAGCGAAAGCGUGGGGAGCGAACAGGAUUAGAUACCCUGGUAGUCCACGCCGUAAACGAUGAGUGCUAAGUGUUAGGGGGUUUCCGCCCC